This 253-nucleotide ribosomal RNA is filed under the name uncultured bacterium. Its description in RNAcentral is "partial 16S ribosomal RNA". It matches the Rfam family "Bacterial small subunit ribosomal RNA", at positions 524 to 776 of the family's 1533-position model. The record is from RNAcentral.
UACGGGGGGGGCAAGCGUUGUUCGGAAUUACUGGGCGUAAAGGGCGCGUAGGCGGUUCGCUAAGUUGAAUGUGAAAACUCUGGGCUUAACCCAGAGCCUGCAUUCAAUACUGGCGGGCUAGAGUUCUGGAGGGGAUAGCGGAAUUCCUGGUGUAGCGGUGAAAUGCGUAGAUAUCAGGAGGAACACCGGUGGCGAAGGCGGCUAUCUGGACAGAUAUCGACGCUGAGGUGCGAAAGCGUGGGGAGCAAACAGG